CAGCCGCCACGGUAAUACGAAGGGUGCAAGCGUUACUCGGGAUUACUGGGCGUAAAGGGCGCGUAGGCGGUUCGUACAGUCGGAUGCGAAAUUCCUGGGCUUAACCUGGGGGCUGCAUUCGAUACGUGCGGGCUUGAGUGUGGAAGAGGGUUGUGGAAUUCCCAGUGUAGAGGUGAAAUUCGUAGAUAUUGGGAAGAACACCGGUGGCGAAGGCGGCAACCUGGUCCAUGACUGACGCUGAGGCGCGUAAGCGUGGGGAGCAAACAGGAUUAGAUACCCCGGUAGUCCCUGUCUCUUAUAC
Molecule: ribosomal RNA, 301 nt
Filed under: uncultured bacterium
Lineage: Bacteria
Description: partial 16S ribosomal RNA
Rfam family: Bacterial small subunit ribosomal RNA
Source: RNAcentral